Molecule: non-coding RNA, 90 nt
Organism: Drosophila melanogaster (fruit fly)
Lineage: Eukaryota; Metazoa; Arthropoda; Insecta; Diptera; Drosophilidae
Source: Ensembl
AAGCUGGCCUGUCCCUGGGUAAACUCCCAAGGAUCAGGUGGAGAUUGAAUCCCGAUCCUUGGGUUUCUGCUCUCGGGCAAGGUCAGUAGU